GGACUGAGGUGCAGCAGGAUCAAGGGACCCAUUGUCCCCCACCAGGGUGCUCCGGCCCUCAGGAACCCCUUGGAUCAACAGAAGAAACAGGUGUCCCAGUGAGAGCGGGGAUCCUGGGGAGGGGUUCUUGGGGAGGGGUCUGUGGGCCGAGGGGUGAUGGGCUAUGAAGGGUUUCCUGCGGGUAUUUGAGGGUGAGGGUCACCUCCAGGCCAUGACUCCUCCUUCCCUGCCCCACAGGGUGGAAAGGGCCCCAUUUGUCUGCCUGGCUGUGAUAGGGUGCAGAGUCAUUUGUGACUUCCCAGUCCUGCUGGGCCUCCAGGUGUGGCUGGAGAAGACGGAGACCAAGAGAAGAACCCCAGAGAACCCAGCCAAUCUUCUCUCCACAUGAGAGGGCCGAGGGCUCUCCUGGACCCCCUGGACUCACUGGUCUAUGGAACAGCCUGGAACAGUGGGAGCAGAUUGGGAGCCCGGACCUCAGGGACACCAGGGACACUUUGGAGCCAGAGUGUGGGGAGCCAAAGUCAAUAAAGGAACAAGAGGAUUCACGGACCUACAGGAUCCACAGGGUCCCCUGACAGGUGUUGGGGACCUGGGUCCUCCUGGAGAGAAGGAGACAAAAGAGAAUAAACCGUGGAGAAUACCAGGAUUUUGUGAGGGGGAAAUGAAGUUUUUGACCCCAAUCUCUUUGCUACUGGAGCCAGGAGAGACAGGAUCUCCAGGAAUCCAGGGUGAGCCAGGUGUCAGGGUCUUGGUUUUCCUGGAGACCCUGGCCUCCCGGAAGAAGGUAGUUCAUGAUCAGGACAGUGUUAAGGGUGACUACGGCAAGGAUGGUGAGCCAAGACAGCCUGUGAGUGACCAAUGA
Molecule: long non-coding RNA, 862 nt
Filed under: Rhinopithecus bieti (black snub-nosed monkey)
Lineage: Eukaryota; Metazoa; Chordata; Mammalia; Primates; Cercopithecidae
Description: lncRNA (ENSRBIG00000046683.1)
Source: RNAcentral